GCCAGAGUUUAUUUUGUGGACUAUGGGAACUCUUGUGAGGUGGAGGCAGCACAUCUAAAGGCCAUCACCCCAAGCCUGCUCAAACUGCCUUUCCAAGCAAUUCGCUGCUGGCUUGCAGGAGUGGAAGCAGUGGAGGGUCAGUGGAAUAAAGAGGCAAUACAUAAGUUUCAGGCUCUUUGUGCCGGUCAGCCGUUGAGUGGCAGAGUGCUGUCCAUCACUGAGAAGGGUUAUGGGGUGGAGCUGGAAAGCGCCGGACAAAGCAUUGCUGCUGUGCUAAUCUCGGAGCACCUGGCUAAACCUUAUAGACAGGUGAAACAGCCUCCUGUGCAGCCAGCUAAACCCACCAGUCAGAUUGAGGAUCUGCCCACCCUUAAACCCAUUGAUCAGAGUCCACCUGCUGAAGAGCCUUUGAAAGUGAACAACAAGGGAGCUGCCAAUGACACAGAAGGUUCAACCUCAUCAAUCGGCACUUUUUCUUUGAACUGGAAAACAUUGGAGCUGUCUUGCACUGAUGCUUUCCAACCAAGGGUG
Molecule: long non-coding RNA, 531 nt
Organism: Sinocyclocheilus rhinocerous
Lineage: Eukaryota; Metazoa; Chordata; Actinopteri; Cypriniformes; Cyprinidae
Exons: 3
Source: RefSeq, a predicted model, not a curated record